GGCCAGGUGGCGGAGUGGUUAACGCGGUAGACUCGAAUGCCAAGGAUUCCCUUGAACUCGCAGCUAUCUACUUCCUUCGGGAGCGUCUGUUCGAAUCAGGCCCUGGUCG
This is a non-coding RNA of Nemania sp. FL0916, 109 nucleotides long. NCBI's taxonomy places the organism in Eukaryota, Fungi, Ascomycota, Sordariomycetes, Xylariales, Xylariaceae. The record is from the annotation of a GenBank genome assembly.